This 92-nucleotide microRNA precursor is filed under the name Phlebotomus papatasi. Its description in RNAcentral is "microRNA mir-263". Lineage: Eukaryota; Metazoa; Arthropoda; Insecta; Diptera; Psychodidae. The record is from RNAcentral.
AUCCGCGAAAAAAUACACGCCCCGCGAAAAUCCGCGGAAAUUUUCGGGAAAAUUUCCGCGGAUUUUCGCGGGGCGUGUAUUUUUUCGCGGAU